This 69-nucleotide transfer RNA is filed under the name Ovis aries (sheep). It matches the Rfam family "tRNA". Rfam says of the family: Transfer RNA (tRNA) molecules are approximately 80 nucleotides in length. Their secondary structure includes four short double-helical elements and three loops (D, anti-codon, and T loops). Further hydrogen bonds mediate the characteristic L-shaped molecular structure. tRNAs have two regions of fundamental functional importance: the anti-codon, which is responsible for specific mRNA codon recognition, and the 3' end, to which the tRNAs corresponding amino acid is attached (by aminoacyl-tRNA synthetases). tRNAs cope with the degeneracy of the genetic code in two manners: having more than one tRNA (with a specific anti-codon) for a particular amino acid; and 'wobble' base-pairing, i.e. permitting non-standard base-pairing at the 3rd anti-codon position. The record is from Rfam by way of RNAcentral. Lineage: Eukaryota; Metazoa; Chordata; Mammalia; Artiodactyla; Bovidae.
CCUGGUGGCUUAGAUGGUAAAGAAUCUGCCUGCAGUGCAGGAGACCCAGGUUCAAUUCCUGGGUCAGGA